AGAGUUUGAUCCUGGCUCAGGAUGAACGCUAGCGGCAGGCCUAAUACAUGCAAGUCGAGGGGUAACAGAAAGUGCUUGCACUUUGCUGACGACCGGCGCACGGGUGAGUAACGCGUAUACAAUCUACCUCAUACUAGAGGAUAGCCUUAAGAAAUUUGGAUUAAUACUCUAUAGUAUCAUUUAAAGACAUCUUUUUAUGAUUAAAGGUUACGGUAUGAGAUGAGUAUGCGUUCUAUUAGCUUGUAGGUGUGGUAACGGCACACCUAGGCUGCGACGUAUAGGGGCCCUGAGAGGGGGAUCCCCCACACUGGUACUGAGACACGGACCAGACUCCUACGGGAGGCAGCAGUGAGGAAUAUUGGGCAAUGGAGGCAACUCUGACCCAGCCAUGCCGCGUGCAGGAAGACUGCCCUAUGGGUUGUAAACUGCUUUUAUACAGGAAGAAACAGUUCCUCGUGAGGGAGCUUGACGGUACUGUAAGAAUAAGGAUCGGCUAACUCCGUGCCAGCAGCCGCGGUAAUACGGAGGAUCCAAGCGUUAUCCGGAAUCAUUGGGUUUAAAGGGUCCGUAGGUGGAUAAUUAAGUCAGAGGUGAAAUCCUGCAGCUCAACUGUAGAAUUGCCUUUGAAACUGGUUAUCUUGAGUUAUUAUGAAGUAGUUAGAAUAUGUAGUGUAGCGGUGAAAUGCAUAGAUAUUGCAUACAAUACCAAUUGCGAAGGCAGAUUACUAAUAAUAUACUGACACUGAUGGACGAAAGCGUGGGGAUCGAACAGGAUUAGAUACCCUGGUAGUCCACGCCGUAAACGAUGGUCACUAGCUGUUUGGACUUCGGUCUGAGUGGCUAAGCGAAAGUGAUAAGUGACCCACCUGGGGAGUACGUUCGCAAGAAUGAAACUCAAAGGAAUUGACGGGGGCCCGCACAAGCGGUGGAGCAUGUGGUUUAAUUCGAUGAUACGCGAGGAACCUUACCAGGGCUUAAAUGUAAGUUGCAUGAUUUAGAGAUAGAGCUUUCUUCGGACUACUUACAAGGUGCUGCAUGGUUGUCGUCAGCUCGUGCCGUGAGGUGUCAGGUUAAGUCCUAUAACGAGCGCAACCGCUGUUUUUAGUUGCCAGCGAGUCAUGUCGGGAACUCUAACAAGACUGCCGGUGCAAACCGUGAGGAAGGUGGGGAUGGCGUCAAAUCAUCACGGCCCUUACGUCCUGGGCUACACACGUGCUACAAUGGUAGGUACAGAGAGCAGCCACUGCGUGACGUGGAGCCAAUCCCAAAAAACUUCCCCAAGUUCGGAUUGCAGUCUGAAACUCGACUCCAUGAAGGUGGAAUCGCUAGUAAUCGCGCAUCAGCAUGGCGCGGUGAAUACGUUCCCGGGUCUUGUACACACCGCCCGUCACGCCAUGGAAGCCGGUAGCACCCAAUGUCAGUGUCCUAACCUUCGGGGAGGAGCUGCUUAAGGUGAGAUUGGUAACUGGGGCGAAGUCGUAACAAGGUAACC
This 1492-nucleotide ribosomal RNA is filed under the name uncultured prokaryote. RNAcentral's name for it is "partial 16S ribosomal RNA". It matches the Rfam family "Bacterial small subunit ribosomal RNA". The record is from RNAcentral.